RNAcentral lists this ribosomal RNA (796 nucleotides) under Heterosigma akashiwo. RNAcentral's name for it is "partial Bacterial large subunit ribosomal RNA". It matches the Rfam family "Bacterial large subunit ribosomal RNA", at positions 2078 to 2899 of the family's 2925-position model. Lineage: Eukaryota; Raphidophyceae; Chattonellales; Chattonellaceae. The record is from RNAcentral.
GGACGAAAAGACCCCGUGAACCUUUACUAUAGCUUAGUAUUGGCUUUGGAUAAGUAAUGUGUAGGAUAGGUGGGAGACUUUGAAGUGGCGUCGCUAGGCGUUGUGGAGUCAUUGUUGAAAUACCACCCUUUGCUUAUCUAGAGUCUAACCCACACUGUGGGGACAGUGCUUGAUGGGUAGUUUGACUGGGGUGGUCGCCUCCAAAAGAGUAACGGAGGCUUCUAAAGGUUCCCUCAGCACGCUUGGUAACCGUGCGUAGAGUGCAAUGGCAUAAGGGAGCUUGACUGAGAGACCUACAAGUCGAUCAGGUACGAAAGUAGAGCAUAGUGAUCCGGUGGUUCCGCAUGGAAGGGCCAUCGCUCAACGGAUAAAAGGUACGCCGGGGAUAACAGGCUGAUACUGCCCAAGAGUCCAUAUCGACGGCAGUGUUUGGCACCUCGAUGUCGGCUCAUCUCAUCCUGGGGCUGGAGCAGGUCCCAAGGGUACGGCUGUUCGCCGUUUAAAGCGGUACGUGAGCUGGGUUUAGAACGUCGUGAGACAGUUCGGUCCCUAUCUUCCGUGGGUGUAGGAUAUUUGAGAAGAGUUGCCCCUAGUACGAGAGGACCGGGGUGAACAUACCUCUGGUGUACCUGUCAUUCUGCCAAGAGUGCCGCAGGGUAGCUAUGUAUGGACGGGAUAACCGCUGAAAGCAUCUAAGCGGGAAGCCUCCCUUGAGAUUAGGUAUCUUUGAACCGUGAUAGACCAUCACGUUGAUAGGCCGGGUGUGGAAGCGCAGUAAUGUGUGUAGCUAACCGGU